CGGUCCUUACCGUCACCACCGCAUACAAGUACACACACACACACACACAUCCAUGGGCAGUGAGGUGGAGUGUUCGCUAAAGCACGUGUUCGUUUCUUUUUAGUUUUACCGCUACGUCUGUCCUCCCCGUCCUCCUUCCCGUGAGGCGUUUGUGGGCGCCCGGAGAGCACCUUCUGCGCGGCAAGCUAGGCCAUCUUUUUGUGCGUAGGCACAUGCAUGUCGGCGGCUCGACAACUACGGAAACACCGACUCGUGUGAAAGGUGUGCAGAGUCCGGAGCGGGCGUCGUGCCCCUGCGGCCAUGGACUCCGACGAACAUCUCGCCUGCCGCGGCACAUGCGGGCAGGCGAUUCAUCGACGCCCGAGGUGGCAUCGAUGGAGAUGGACGAUGCGGGCAGCGACCCCCCUUCCCCGGGCAGCGGCGUUGUGAGGCGUGCGCCAAGGUGCAGAGGCGCUGCUGCUGUGCACAGGCACUGUGAAGCGGAGCUGGCACGGUGCAUGGCGCGACCGAGUCCUGUGGGCGCCGAUGUGGAGUGCCGCGGCACGAGGCGACUGAGGGCGAAGCGUGGCGCACAGGCAGAGCGCGCGUGGCCUGCGAGGGCCGUGGCGUGCAGCUGGCCAGCUUCCUCCUCGGGCUGGCCCGGCGUCCGUGCGCAUAGCCGACCCCCUGCUGCCCGCGCGACCGACGCCACCGCCUCCGCCCUGGAGCAGGACCGUGGACGUGGACGGCGUGGAUGGAGGCGCGCGGUCCGGCCGAGCCGGUGUUGCGCCGGUGGCGCAGCGGGUGUGCGAGGAAGAGGGCCGAGGAGGGACAGGAGGAGCCCGUGAGACGCACGGCCCGCCUCGACGGCAUGACGGCUCGCGCUAGAGGGCCCGGAUGCAGCCGUGGCGCGGCAGGGGCAGGAGAGAGGUGUGGCUGUGCGCGUAUGUCUGCUGGCGUGCUCGUGGUCAAAUGGGCACGUGGGCAAAAACGCUUUGGUUAAGCUGGCUGUCAUAAUAAGCUACGCGCAGUCUCAGGGAUUUCGGAGGAGGUUUGUCUCAGUGCGCGGCUCUCGCGGAGUGGGGCGGUGUCACACAAACAAGUGCUGGUUGAUGUACCCUAGUGUGUCCUUUGAAUUGUGCCGCUGGGACGUCCAUAAAUGGGAUUCCCGUAUUCGAGCGUGUCCCUUAAGCUGUGUAUUGUUCUCCUCGUUUCUUCCCCUGAAACGCUUACGUAAUCUGUUUUGUGUUG
RNAcentral lists this unclassified non-coding RNA (1230 nucleotides) under Leishmania donovani. RNAcentral describes it as "gene:unknown". Lineage: Eukaryota; Euglenozoa; Kinetoplastea; Trypanosomatida; Trypanosomatidae. The record is from RNAcentral.